GAUAUGAAAGUAGAUAUUUUCGAAAUGAGUUAAAGAUGUGCAAAGAGAAAUUACAUCAUACUACACUUGUUCACACUAGCCAUCACUUUUAAGAUGUUGACUGCUAUUUAAUUGUUAAAUGAACAAACUCACUCAUGAAAUUGGACUGCACUUACCGACGUAGAGAUUUAAGAACCAAAUAGCAAAACAAAAAAGAACCAAAAUAAAUUAAAACAGUCCAUUAAACAGACCCAAAUAGACCUAAACCCCAUUUCAAUGAAAAAAACCAAAUAAAUCAAAUAACUCAAUGCCUAAAAGGCCCAAUGGCCCAAAACCUAGACCUAGGUUCAGCCUAACAGAAACCUAGGGUUUCCCUUGCGCCGCAGCUGGCCUCACAGCACCGUACAACCUCCAAUGCUUCAGCAGCCUCCAGUACACAGCCUCCGUACGCCCCAUGUCGAGUGCCACGUACCACCACAGCUGGCUCCGUACCCCGUACCUGCAAACCAAAACACGACAAUAGCACAAAAUAGCAAAAAGAAUGUAUUUUUCUUUUUUAUUUCGGCUAUAUAAAGCCAUACAAAAUUGUAUUGUUUUUUUUAGACACGAUCUAUUGAACACGCAUACUAAAAUACAAAAGCAACAAAAAAUCAAAAGGUGAUUUCGGAUUCGGUUCUUCUUUUCCAGUUGUUUUCUUCUUUGUUUUUUUUUUGGUUUUACAUACUGUGUAUUUGGAGUAUAAAAGAAAGAAAAGAAAAGUGAAGGCUUACCUUGCAAAUAUGCCACGAGAUUCCUUCUGCUUCGUUGAAAUCGAGGUAUGAGGGAUCCCAAAGCUGAAAAAACAAUCGCCGAGGCUCGAAUACACUGGUCGCCGACUGUUGUGGCGGAUCGACGUUUGAGCAAAAGGGAAUUAGCGUUCGGCCGAAUAUGGAAAAGGGAGUGUUUAGGUUUUUUUUUCCUAAAUGGCUUAGUUUUAGGGUUUUUUUUGGUUUUAACAAUGUAUAUGAAACGGCACCAUUUAGGGCCUGUUUCAGUGGCUCCAAAACGGUGCCGUCUAAGUCAACCCGUUUCGACCCGAUCCGAUUGCCCCCAGGAUCUGUGUGUUUUUGCGGAGAGGGGAUAUUUGUGCAUUGAGUCCUUCCUUUUCGCGUUGACGUUCAAUUGGAACCCAUUCAUAUUUUUCUUUUUCUUAAUUUAUUUCUGCAACUUGUGCGUAAAUCCAAUUUAGUCCGGCCUCAACGCUGCAUUUGGGAAUCUGGAAUAUUUCCAGUUUCGAUCCCUUUACAUUCGCACGCAUUAUGAUUUAGUCCCUAUUCUAUUUUUAAUGGCUUAUUUUAUUUAUUAAUUACUCCUUUAAGCUUCAUUUUAUUUCAAUUAAGUUUUUUUCAAUUUAUAUGAUUCAUUUUUAAAAGUUCACUUAGCUUUCAUCUUUUAAAUUUUUUUUUUGUUACAUUUUGAGUUACUUUGAUGAAUUUACUUUGUUUUUUUUUUGUUUUUUUAAUUUAUAAAAUUAUUAUUUUCAAAUUCUCUUUUAUAUCAUAUGAUUUUAAAUUUUUGUAUAAUCUUUAAUUUAAAUUACCCUCAUAUUAAUAUAUAUUUAUAUAUAAGUUUAUGUAAAAGUUAGUUGUAUUCUAUGAAUAUUAUUAAUCCCAUGUUAACUUAUUUAUAAAUUCUUUUAAAUCUAUCUGUGUAUAUUUUAUCUUUAUGUACAUAAUUCAUUUUUUUAAAGAACAUAUUUUAUUACAUAUUGUUGUGAUUUAAAAUUUCACAUGUUUAUAUACUAUUUUUUAUAUGCAUAUACAUUGUCCACUUUAAAUGGAUGUAUCAUUUUUAAAAUGUUUUUGUACAUUAUUUGACUCAAAUUUCUUCUUUCAUAAUAUUUAUUUUAAUAAUUAUUUAUAUAUUUGUAGUUUAAUUUUUUUUACAUGUAAAUUAUUUAAAAUUAUGGCAUGUGUUAUACUCGUAAUUUCUCACGUGUUUUUAAUUGUUUUGUACCAUAUCCUAGUGUCCAUAUUGUUUUGUAUAUAAUGUGUGUUUUGUUGGCUUUUUCCAUAUUGUUUUAUAGAUUAUUAUAUCAUAUUUUCAAUUGGUAUUUGGUGUUGUUAUCUUAAUUUUAUUUAUCUAUGUUUGAAAACUUGUUAUAGUUUUUAUUUUGAUUUGUUUCUUUAGUUAUAUUUUUAGUUUUCACUAUUUUGAUCAUUAAUGUUUGGAUGUGAGUUUAAUGUUAUUUUGUCCAUGUUAAUUCUUUUAUUUAUUUAUUUUUAUACUAUUUUCAUUCAUUAAUAGAGUUCGCUAUCCAUGUAUAUUGUCUCAUGUUUAUAAUUUUGUCUUUCAUUCGCAAUUGUCGCAUUGUAAUUUGUAACUUAUUGAUCCAAAAUUAAUGAUUCCAUUUUAUUUCAAGUCGAAUUAAUGUAUUUUGAGUCGACUUUUUAAAAACAAAGGCGAUAUUUGACGUUUGGAAAUUCGGGAAAUCCUGCCCUAACGUGCUGGGUUUCGAUUUUCUGUUUGUCCAAAUGAUCAAAUAUCCCUUUAAAAUUUCGUCCACGUUUUCUAAACUUUAAAAAAAAGGUGAUGUUUGAUACUUAAAAAUUCGGGAAAUCAAGCCCUAACGUGCUAGGUUUCGAUUUUCUGUUUGUCCAAAUGAUCAAAUAUCCCUUCAAAAUUUCGUCCGUAUUCUCUAAACUUCACAACAAGGCAAUAUUCUAUGUUUGGAAACUCGAGAAAUCCUGCCCUAACGUGUAAUACCCCCUACCCAUAUUCAUUGCCGGAAUAGGGUACGAGGUAUUACCGGAGUUUACGAUUUUUUUUUAUAUUCAAUAUAGCCCCUUUAUAAAUAUCUAACCUUCCCUGCAAUAUUAAAUUGAGGCCAAUCCACAUCAACCAAACCAAUUCAACAUAUUUUCAAGAUAAAUUCAUGCAUAUUUAUAAGAUAACGUCAUCACAUACCCAAAACCAGGUUUGUUAACUAUACUAAUGGCUAACUUUACAUUCAUUUCACGUUAACAUUUACUUUAUUAGCUUAUACAUGCCAUUGAUUUCCAAAAUAAAGUUUCUUUAUAUACCGAAAUCCUGAGGUUGAUAGUGUGAUGUGUCUCCGACCAAAUCUGACCUCCGAGCUCUUAACACUACAAAACAGGGGAAAAUGAAACAGGGUAAGCACUUUGUGCUUAGUAAGCUCAUGUAACAAGAAUUAUACUUACCUAAUAUUUUCAAUACAAUACAAUAAACAUUCAUAUAUCCAUUCAAUGCAUUAUUACCCUAACAUGCACAAACUCAACAUUCAAGUUAGUACAAUAAUUUCCAUGUACCAAUAAUAUAUACUAUGAUUGAUGAGCUCAUCAAUACCAUAAUUUUCAUUUCCUUAUAUAUAUAUAUAUAUUUUUUCAUAUUUAUCCCGUUGAAUUUCUUGGAAUUUUCGAUGGAUUUUCAGAGGUACACUUUUAGUGUACAUUUCCAGGUCCGUCAAUUCAUAUUCAUGUGCGCACAUUUCCAUUUCAGAGAGCACACUCCUGCGAACCUCAUCCUUACAGCGGGAUUACCAGUCCAGGCUAAAUCCCCUGUAAUAUAAACUCAUAGAGUAUUGUCGGGAUUACCAGUCCAGGCUAAAUCCCCUGCAAACGACAAUUACUCUAAUGAGCUUGGAUCUGAAUUACCAGUCCAGGCUAAUUUCAGACCCUAAUUCGGAUUACCCGUCCGGGCUAAAUCUAUUUUCCACAUAUUCUUCGGGAGGGCUAUAUCAGGAUAGGAUCACCCGUCUGGGCUAGAUCUUUUUUACCGUCAAUUCCUUUUCAGAGAUCCAUCAAAUUUUCCUUUCAUUCAACCGGGAUUUCUUCCCCUUUUAUCAAAUAUAUCAAUUUUUCAUAAAUUUCCAUAUAAUGAACAUUCAAAUCAUAUUCAUAUCAAAAACAUGCAUUUCAAGCAUUUAAGAAUAUAAUUCAAGUUACACGAACUUACCUUGAUACUUGUUCGUGUACAAAAAUCUACUAAUCCUGAACUUUUUCCUUUCCUCGAUCUAGCUCCGUAUUUGAAUCUUCUGGAUCUAAAUAAAUAAAUUUAAUUAUCAAUUUAAUACAUUUCAUGUUUAUAUGCAACAAUUUCUAUAAUUUCAUUAUUAUUAUUUAUAGUUUAUUCAAAGCUGUCUAUUUGAGUCAUAGUCACUAAAUUAUUUAUAAAUCAAGCUACGGAACUCCAAAUUAAGAUCCGUUAAUUUUCCCUGAAACUAGACUCAUAUAUCUUCUUACAAUAAAAUUUUCAAAAUUUUUGGUUUAGCCAAUAAGUACAGUUUAUUCUUUAAUGUCACCCCUGUUCUGCUGUCUGAUAGUUCUGACCCUUCUUCACUAAAAAUUAAUUAUCUCUUCAUAUAGAAUUCAGAUGAUGUUCCCGUUUGUUUCUCUUGAAAAUAGACUCAUUCAGGAUUCUAUGCAUAUAAAUUUAAGCCCAUAAUUAUUUUUAUUCAAUUUUUUAUGAUUUCUCAAAGUUAGUCUACUGCUGCUGUCCAAUAUUUUUUUAGUGCAAGCUGUUUAUUACCAUUUUUCCCCUAAGCUUUUAAUAAAUAACAAUUUCGUCCCUACUCAAUUAGCCUCUCAAUUGAGCUUAUUUUUCUUAAUUAACACUUUAUUCUAUCACCUUAAACUAGUUUACAACUUUUAGGAAUCAAAAUUUCAGCAAUAGACUUUAAUUCCAAACAUUUUCACAAUUAGGUCCUAAAAAUCAAUUUCUAUUGAAAUUACCUAAUAAAAUCAUCUCAUAAACAAAUUAAAGCUUUAAUUUCAUUCUAUCUCAUCAUAAACUUACAGCACUCAACCUUGGUGACUUUCAAUUUCAUCCAUGCAAUCAAAAACUAAUGAAUUUAAUAGUAGGACCUAGUUGUAAAAGUCUUAGAAACACAAAAAUUACAAGAAAAAGGCAAGGAUUAACUCACUUGGUGCACAAAUUAUGGAAUACCAGCUUAGAGAACCCUCCUAUGGCGUUUUUAGCUACUGGAAUUGAAGAGAAAUGAAGAGAAAUCUAGAUAUUUCCUAUUUAGUCCUAGUUUUAUUUAGUUAAUUUUGCAAUAUUCCAAUUUUGCCCUUAAUUUAUCAAUUUUCCUGCUGAUUUCAUGCCCUUGCCCGUCCAGUCCAUAUAAAUUUUGGGUCUAAUUUCCUUUUAAAUCCUCUCUCAUUAGACACUUAAGCUAUUUAAUCAUCCCAUCCACUUUUACACCUUUUACAAUUUAGUCCUUUUCAUUUAAUUAACUAUCCAAACAUUAAAAUUUCCUAACAAAAUUUUAAUACCACAUUACUAACAUUUCAUAAAUAUUUAUAAAAUUAUUUUUAACUCGUUUUUACGAGAUAAAGAUCCCGAUACCUUAUUUUACCCAAUUUAUUCAAUAAUUUCUUUUUCUAACUAACCACUAAAUCGGUAAAAUUUUUCUAUCAAUAUUUUCAUACGAUUUUCCUAUCAUAUCAAUUUUCAUGCAAAAAUAUUGAAAUAAAUUUCUCUUUAAAUCAGAUUUGUGGUUACAAAACCACUGUUUCGAUAACCUUGAAUUUAGGUCAUUACGUAACGUGUUGGGUUUCAGUUUUUCGUUGGACCAAAUAAUCGAAUAUCCUUUUGUAAUUUUCAAAUGUAUGAGUUUUUGGAAAUCAAGAAUUGAUCAUAGUUUUGAGGGUUUAAAGGAUCUUGUCCUAACGUGCUGGAUGUGAUACUGUAUUCCUUUGAAACAAAAGAGUUUUAAUGUCUAAUUCGUGUCAUUCGAAUGUUUUAAAAUAAAUCUAUUUUAAAAUAUUUUUUAAAUCUUAGGCAUAAUGACAUUAUUUAAUCAAUUUGGUACCAAUUUGGGGCGUAACGAGGGUGCUAAUCCUACCUCGUACGCAAUCGACUCCCGAACCCAUUUUCUUAAAUUGUGUAGGCCAAAAUUGAUGUUUUAAUAAAAUAAAGUGUUUUAUUAGGUGACCCGAUCACACCUAAACAAAAAGGAUUGGUGGCGACUCCAUACCUCGUUUUAAAGUCGAUCCCCAUUUUUUUUAAUUAAUAAAAAUGGUUUCGACACACUCCACCGCUCAUGUAAAUACAUCAUUACUAGCAUAGAUACAAGAAUUCGUAUGGUCGAUACAAUUAAAUUAAUUCCCUGCUAAAAGAAUAAAAAUGACUGUCUAUCGAUUGCAAUGUUGCUGAUAUUUCAGUAACUUGAUUUAUUUAUAAUAAUAUGAAUUUUGGCUGAGAAAAAAAAUCUUUUAAAUGAUUUAAUUUUUAUUAUGUGGAUGAGGUUGACGAAGACCAUUUCAAGUCAAUAUACAGCUCUCUAGUAUUACUAUUUUUAUCUCUAUCAAUCAUGCAUUAUUGUCUUGCAUGCCCUUUUUUUAAUUUUUGUUUUUCCUUUUAGUGUGAAUGCUUAAAAAUCACAGUAGCUAGUAGCAAGGAUAUGAAAGUAGAUAUUUUUGAAAUGAGUUAAAGAUGUGCAAAGAGAAAUUACAUCAUACUACACUUGUUCACACUAGCCAUCACUUUUAAGAUGUUGACUGCUAUUUCCUCCUAAUUAAUUGUUAAAUGAACAAACUCACUCAAGAAAUUGAAAUGCACUUACCGACGUAGAGAUUUAAGAACCAAAUAGCAAAACAAAAAAAAAACCAAAAUAAAUUAAAACAGUCCAUUAAACAGACCCAAAUAGACCCAAACCCCAUUACAAUGAAAAAAAAACCAAACAAAUCAAAUAACCCAAUGCCUAAAAGGCCCAAAACCUAGACCCAGGUUCAGCCAAAUAGAAACCUAGGGUUUCCCUUGCGCCGCAGCUGGCCUCCCAGCACCGUACAACCUCCAGCGCUUCAGCAGCCUCCAGCACACAGCCUCCGUACGCCCCACGCCGAGUGCCACGUACCACCACAGCUGGCCCCAUACCCCGUACCUGCAAACCAAAACACGACAGCGGUACAAAAUAGCAAAAAGAAUGUAUUUUUCUUUUUUAUUUCAGCUAUAUAAAGCCAUACAAAAUUAAUGUAUUGUUUUUUUUUUAGACACAAUUUAUUGAAAACGCAUACUGAAUUACAAAAGCAACCAAAAAUCAAAAGGUGAUUUCAGAUUCAGUUAUUCUUUUCCAGUUGUUUUCUUCUUUUUUUUUUUUGGUUUUACAUACUGUGUAUUUGGAGUAUAAAAGAAAAGAAAAGAAAAGUGAAGGCUUACCUUGCAAAUAUGCCAUGAGAUUCCUUCUGCUUCGUUGAAAUCGAGGUAUGAGGAGAUACCAAAGAUGAAAAAACAACCGUCGAGGCUCGAAUACACUGGUUGCCGACUGUUAUGGCGGAUCGGCGUUUGAGCAAAAGGCGAUUAGGGUUCGGCCGAAUAUGGAAAAGGGAGUGUUUAGUUUUUUUUUCUGAAAUGGCUAAGGGUAUUAGUUUUAGGUUUUUUUUUGGUUUUUGGGUAUUAGUUUUAGGGUUUUUAGUUUUUUUGUCCUGCUUCAGUGGCUCUAAAAUGGUGUCGUCUAAGCCAACCCGUUUCGACUCGACCCGAUUGCCCCCAGGAUCCGAAUGUUUCUGCGGAGAGGGGAUAUUUGUGCAUUGAGUCCUUCUUUUUCGCGUUGACGUUCAAUUGGACCCUAUUCAUAUUUUUCUUUUUCUUAAUCUAUUUUUGCAACUUGUGCAUAAAUCCAAUUUAGUCCGUGCCUCAACGCUGCGUUUGGGAAUCUGGAAUAUUUCCAGUUUCGAUCCCUACGCAUUCGCGCGCAUUAUGAUUUAGUCCCUAUUCUAUUUUUAAUGGCUUAUUUUAUUUAUUAAUUACUCCUUUAAGCUUCAUUUUAUUUCAAUUAAGUAUUUUUUCAAUUAAUAUGAUUUAUUUUUAAAAGUUCAUUUAGCUUUCAUCUUUUAAAUUUUUUUUAUAUACAUUUUGAGUUACUUUGAUGAAUUUACUUUGUUUUUUUUUUAGUUUUUUUUAAUUUAUAAAAUUAUUUUUUUCAAAUUCUCUUUUAUAUCAUAUGAUUUUAAAUUUUUGUAUAAUCUUUAAUUUAAAUUACCCUCAUAUUAAUACAUAUAUAUAUAUAAAAGUUUAUGUAAAAGUUAGUUGUGUUCUAUGAAUAUUAUUAAUCCCAUGUUAACUUAUUUAUAAAUUCCCAUGUUAACUUAUUUAUAACUUCUUUUAAAUCUAUUUAUGUAUAUUUUAUCUUUAUGUACAUAAUUCAUUUUUUUAAAGAACAUAUUUUAUUACAUAUUUUUGUGAUUUAAAAUCUCACAUAUUUAUAUACUAUUUUUUAUAUGCAUAUACAUUGUCCACUUUAAAUGGAUGUAUCAUUUUUAAAAUGUUUUUGUACAUUAUUUUAUUCAAAUUUCUUCUUUCAUAAUAUUUAUUUUAAUAAUUAUUUAUAUAUUUGCAGUUUAAAUUUUUAUUACAUAUAAAUUAUUUAAAAUUCUAGCAUGUGUUAUUCAUUCGUAAUUCUCACGUGUUUUUAAUUGUUUUGUACCAUAUCCUAGUGUCCAUACUAUUUUGUAUAUUAUGUGUGUUUUGUUGGCUUUUUUCAUAUUGUUUUAUAGAUUAUUAUAUCAUAUUUUCAAUUGGUAUUUGGUGUUGUUAUCUUAAUUUUAUUUAUCUAUGUUUGAAAACUUGUUAUAGUUUUUAUUUUGAUUUGUUUCUUUAGUUAUAUUUUUAGUUUUCACUAUUUUGAUCAUUAAUGUUUGGAUGUGAGUUUAAUGUUAUUUUAUCCAUGUUAAUUCUUUUAUUUAUUUAUUUUUAUACUAUUUUCAUUCAUUAAUAGAGUUCGCUAUCCAUGUAUAUUGUCUCAUGUUUAUAAUUUCGCCUUUCAUUCACAAUUAUCGCAUUGUAAUUUGCAACUUAUUGAUCCAAAAUUAAUGAUUCUAUUUUAUUUCAAGUCGAAUUAAUGUAUUUUGAGUCGACUUUUUAAAAACAAAGGCGAUAUUUGACGUUUGGAAAUUCGGGAAAUCCUGUCCUAACGUGCUGAGUUUCGAUUUUCUGUUUGUCCAAAUGAUCAAAUAUCCCUUUAAAAUUUCGUCCGCGUUUUCUAAACUUUAAAACAACGGCGAUGUUUGAUGUUUGGAAAUUCUGGAAAUCGUGCCCUAACAUGCUGGGUUUCGAUUUUCUGUUUGUCCAAAUGAUCAAAUAUCCCUUUAAAAUUUCGUCCGCGUUCUCUAAACUUCACAACAAGGCAAUAUUCUAUGUUUGGAAACUCGAGAAAUCGUGCCCUAACGUGUUGGGUUUUAGUUUUUCGUUGGACCAAAUAAUCGAAUAUCCUUUUGUAAUUUUCAAAUGUAUGAGUUUUUAAAAAUCAAGAAUUGAUCGUAGUUUCGAGGGUUUAAAGGAUCUUGUCCUAACGUGCUGGAUGUGAUACUGUAUUCCUUUGAAACAAAAGAGUUUUAAUGUCGAAUUCGUGUCAUUCGAAUGUUUUAAAAGAAAUCGUAUUUUAAAAUAUUUUUUAAAUCUUAGGCAUAAUGACAUUAUUUAAUCAAUUUGGUGCCAAUUUGGGGCGUAACGAGGGUCUAAUCCUACCUCGUACGUAAUCGACUCCCGAACCCAUUUUCUCAAAUUGCGUAGGCCAAAAUUGAUGUUUUAAUAAAAUAAAGUGUUUUAUUAGGUGACCCAAUCACACCUAAACAAAAAGGAUUGGUGGCCACUCCAUAUCUCGUUUUAAAGUCGAUCCCCGUUUUUUUAAAUAAUAAAAAUGGUUUCGACACACUCCACCGCUCAUCUAAAUACAUCAUUACUAACAUAGAUACAAGAAUUCGGAUGGUCGAUACAAUUAAAUUAAUUCCUUGCUAAAAGAAUAAAAAUGACUGUCUAUCUAUUGCAAUGUUGCUGAUAUUUCAGUAACUUGAUUUAUUUAUAAUAAUAUGAAUUUUGGCUGAGAAAAAAAAUCUUUUAAAUGAUUUAAUUUUUAUUAUGUGGAUAAGGUUGACGAAGACCAUUUCAAGUCAAUAUACAGCUCUCUAGUAUUACUAUUUUUAUCUCUAUCAAUCAUGCAUGAUUGUCUUGCAUGCCCUUUUUUUAAUUUUUGUUUUUCCUUUUAUUGAAUGCUUAAAAAUCACAGUAGCUAGGAGCAAGGAUAUGGAAGUAGAUAUUUUCGAAAUGGGUUAAAGAUGUGCAAAGAGAAAUUACAUCAUACUACACUUGUUCACACUAGCCAUCACUUUUAAUAUGUUGACUGCCAUUUCCUCCUAAUUAAUUGUUAAAUGAACAAACUCACUCAUGAAAUUGGACUGCACUUACCGACGUAGAGAUUUAAGAAUCUGAUUGUUAAUAGGAUCAAAUUUAUAUCCUAGUGAAAAUGGUUAAAGGUUACGUUGAAAGUACGUCUUUAAUAACUCUCGUUAAAUAAAUAAAAAUAGUGUCUUGAUAAUUUGUAUCAAUCAAAAUCCAAUUUGUAAACAUGAAAAAAACUAUGGCUGUUGAUUGGUUAUGUAAAGGCCCAAUUUAGCCCGGGGCCCAUAAACCAGAAACUAAAAUAAAUAUAACAGUUUUUGUUACAAAACCCAUUAACAAUCUAAAUACAAAAUUAACGCUAGCCCAAAAUAAUGAAGCCCGACAGGCCCAAAACUUAAAAAAUUUUGGGGUUUCUAGCGCCGUUGCCCCAUGUGCGCCGUACAACUGCCACCACCUGCUCCCUUUUCACCAAAAUGGCCACCUGCCUCGUUGACUUCUUCCCCAACCUGCAAACAUGGCCAAGAAAAGAAGGCAACAAGCAGAGAAAUGACAAGGCAACAGUAACCAAAAAAGAGAACACGCAAACGAAAAUAAUGUAUGUAUUCGGCUAUAUAUAGCCACAAGAGUCGAUGUAAUUUUUUUUUACACAGAUUUUGAAAUACACGACAAUAUCAAUAAAAACAGUAUCCAAAAGUCUUAAAGGUGAUUCUUGUUCUUUCUUUUUGCAAUCUUUAUUUCAAAAAAUAAGAUAGAAAAUAGAAAAAGGGGAAUUUUUCAAAAAAAAUAUGAACAAUAUUAAUAGAAAACGAAGAAAGGUGAUUUUUUUCUACUUUCGUUUUAAGUUUUUAUUUUAUUUUAUUUUAUUUUCAUUUUUAUUUAGUUUCACACAAAAUAUAAAAAAAAGGGAAAGGGGGCAAGAAACUUACCGGUGUUCGGUUUUCCAACACCGUGAACGGCCGAGGAAGCCACCACUGAGGAUCGGUGGCCGGAAACCAAAUGAAUUCUUGAGUUCUAGGGUUUUUUUUGUUAAUUUUGAAGGUUUUUGAUCGUUUUAACCUCAAAUCUGGGCUCUACUUGAAAAGAGAAGCAAAAAGGGGUCUCGAACGAUUUUUCGGCCACCAUGGACGAUGCCGCCGCCGUCAGUGGCUGGUGGUCGGCGCGACGGUCGAUGGCCGGCCCAAUGACCAGAGGAGGGGAAGGACUAAGAGUGAUUGAGAGAGUUUUUUUUUUUUUGGAAAAAAGAGUUGAAAUGAAAUUUUAAAAAAAAUUGGUUUAAAUAGGCCUCUAAAACGACGCCGUUUUGGGCAGGCCUCUCAAGCACCAAAACGACGUUGUUUUGGCCAACCCGAUUUGCGACCUGACCCGCAAAGCUAGGAUCCGCGUGUUUUCUAGCGCAUGGGAAAUUUGCGCAAUCAGCCCUUCCGCUUAUUCUGCGCGCUACAAUCUGGUCCUUUUACCCUUUUCUUAUUUUUAUAAAUUUGGCCACAUAUUUUCCGCGCGUUUCAAUUUAGUCCCUGGCUCGCUAGGGGAUGCAUGCAUUGGGAUAUUUUCCCAUUUAGUCCUUCUUUAUUGGCACGCUUUUUAUUUUGGCCCUUCGUUUUGCCCUUUUCUUUUAUUUAUUUUUAAUUUAUCCUUUUGACUUUAUUUUAGUUUCGAUUUCAUCCUUUAUUUUAUCAAUUUCAAUCCUUUUAGAUUUUAUAUAACAUCAUUUUAUUUUCAUUUAUUUUUAUUUAUUUAUUCAUUUGUUUUACUAUUUGAUUGCUAAAUAGAACAGUUUGUCAUAAGAAAAUGAAUUUCUUGAUAAAGUGGAUUAUAAUACGGUUGUCUAAAUAUGGUCCAAGUAAACAAAACGGAAAAAGGCUGAUGAUUUGCGGAGGAAAAUAAGUCUUUACCUGAAGAUUCAAGCCGAUAAAGAUUGUUCGAGAGCUGUCGCGUUCCGAUUUUCUUGAAAAAGCUAAUCAACAUCGCAAGGAUAAUAAGUCACGGUCUAGAUCAAGCAAAAAGGAAUUAGUAAAGGUAUUUAUUGGAAGCUUGCGAGAUUUGACUUCCAUGAAGAAAAGAGAUCGGUGUCUUCGCCUGGAAUAUGAGGGCAAUGCCGCAUAUGUAAUCCGUUUUGUGUAAAGGAAUUUAUUUUCUAGAAAAUUUGUUCUAAUGAAAUUGAAUUCAAAAUCAACGACUUUCUUUCUUUUGCAUUCAUUCUAUGCAUUUUUACGGUAAUUAGGUAAAAUUAGGAAUUCUUUUGCAUUCAUUCUAUUCACUCUAAUUAGGUAAAAUUAUUUCAGUUAACCUGGGAACCGAUAAAAGUCAAACGACUAAGCAUCUUUACGGUACACGAAAAAAGAUAAAAGAUAUGGAUCAAAGAUUGGAAAGACUUGAACAACUUUAAAGAGAGAUGCAAGACCAGUUACAACUGCAAAUGCAAGAGCAACUGGUGAAGAUCCAGCAAGAUAUGAGGUACCAAAUGCUAGAGUCCCAAAAGAAUGUGAUAAAUCAGUUGUCCCAAUUACUGACUAAGGGGCUAGAGAAAGGAAAAAACUCCAUGACCAAUGCUUGGAAGGACAAUGAGGAGCCUCUAUACCCUCCGGGUUUCACCCUGAUAAACGAUCAGACAUGUCCACAAGAUGUACCUAUUGCCAUCAGAUCCCAACAACAUCAGGCCGGUACCUCAGCACCCAUGAACUACCCGACGGGCUCAGGUUCCAAUCCAAGGAACAGUCCAACCAAUCAUGUAGUUCCUGAUCUAGACAAAAUGGUAGGAAUAGAAAAAGUAAGGGUUGAACUGCCAAAACAACUCGAAGAUCGAUACAAGUGGUUGGAGGAAAAACUUAGAGCAAUGGAAAAUGUCGAUUACCAUUGCGGGGUUGACGCUAAAGAUCUCAGUUUGGUUCCAGAUUUAGUACUCUCGCCAAAAUUCAAGACUCCAGAAUUUGAAAAGUAUAAUGAGACUAGUUGUCCUGAAGUUCACAUCAUGAUGUUCUACCGAAGAAUGACAGGUUACGUUAAUAAUAAUCAACUAUUAAUUUAUUGCUUAUAAGAUAGUCUGAUUGGGUUAGUCGCCAAAUGGUACAACCAACUGAGCCGUGCCAAAAUUUAUUCAUGGAAGGACUUGGCACAGGCUUUCAUGAAGCAAUAUGGCCACGUGACAGACAUGGCGCCCGACAGAAAUUACACUGCAGAAUAUGGAAAAGAGGCAAAGUGAGAACUUCAGGCAAUAUGCCCAAAGAUGGAAAGAGGUAGCGACACAAGUCCAACCACCUCUUUUGGAGAAAGAAACUACUAUGCUUUUCGUCAACACUCUGAAUGCCCCGUUCAUUACCCAUAUGUUGGGAAGCACUACCAUGAGCUUCUCAGAUAUAGUAAUAUCUGGUGAGAUGAUUGAAAAUGCAGUCAGGAGCGGGAAGAUAGACGGAGGAGAAAGCGCCCAGAGGUCAACCCCAAAGAGAAAUGAAAAUGAAGUGAAUAAUAUGAGCAAAGGGUAUCCCAAUUUGGUCAACGUAGGCCAGCCGAGGACUGUAACCACUAGCUAUCAAGGCUCUUCAAGACAGGAAUCCAACUCGAGGCUAAAUACAGAAAGGCUCCAGUUUACACCCAUCCCGAUGUCAUAUAAGGAGUUGUAUCAGAAUCUUUUUUAUGUGCAUAUGGUGUCUCCGUUCUACUCUGAACCAGUGCAACCUCCAUUCCCAAACUGGUAUAAUGAGAAUGCUCAAUGUGAGUACCACGCGGGAAUAAUGGGACACUCAAUCGAAAACUGUACUACAUUUAAAAAGUUGGUCGAAAGGUUCAUUGAAAUGAGAAUUGUGAAGUUCGGCGAUUCCUUAAAACCUAAUCGCUCUGACAAUACAGUAAAUGCGAUAUUUGAAAAUGAGGGCAAAAGAGCUGCGAUGCCUUGAACAAGUUAAAAGCCUAGAACGAAUAUUGGAGAAUCUGAAUGACAUAUCCGAAGAGGGAACCGGAGAAUAAAAGUUUCCAAACCCUUGUAUACUUGGGAGUGUUUUAAACAAUGAGAUUGUGGAAGAGAUCCCUUUAUUUUUAGAGCUAAUCUAGAGUAAUAUUCAAAACACGCUUGUUGCUUUAAGCCUAGAAGCAAUAAGAAUCAUUUUAUGAAAUAGGCUUGUGCCCAAAAUCUUUAUUCCAAUAAAAUGCAUCUUUUUGAACAAAUAUUAUUUUAUUUGUUUUUCUAUUUCAUACUGUACAAAUAUUUGUUCUUAGAUUCUUUUGAUCUUUAGACUUUCUUUAAAAAAAUCAUUUAUUAUUCAUUCAUGAUCAUACCAUAUAAAUAAUCAUCCUUAGAAUCAUUUAUUCUUUGGAAUCUGUCUUCAGUAGGUCCCCAGAUAUCAAUGAUGUGAGCAAUGCUGUCACUGACUCCGAGUCUCCUUUUGAGCAAAAUAUGGGCCUAAAAGGAUCUCAGCACUUUAAAUAUGACAGAGAUGUAGCCUAUCUCCUGAUUUGUUAAGGACGAUAGUAUAAGACAAAAAAAAAAGAGAUCCUACCUUACAAAAAGUCAGUGGACAUUGUGAGCCUAGGAGAAGAGAAAAGGGUGAAGACCAGAGCCUAUAUCACUACAAAGACGAAAGUGAGACCUCAUUCCAAGAAUUUAAAGAUGUUUUCGCACGAUCGUAUCAAGACACACCCGAGCUACUAAGACGUGAGGAUGCUGUAGGGCAUUUAAACAAGCAUAUGCUAAUAGUUUUACGAUGGCCAGGCUAAUCAUGAGGUUCGAGUAUCGAUAGGCUACCAUGGAAGGGGAUUGCAUCAGUUAUGCCAUAAAUGUCGGAUUGAGAAUGAUAAGACUUAUGUGCCUCCUCCAUUUCUUCACAGAUUUCCCAUAUGUAGGGCAUGGAUAUUAUGGGGCCGAUCUCGUCAAAAGCUUUUGGCCAACACCGAUUCAUCUUUGGGGUCGUCGAUUACUUCACGAAAAGGGUGAAAGUCAUUUCAUAUGCCAAUGUUACUAAGUCGACAGUCAUCAAAUUCCAAAAAAAAGGUGCCAACAAAAAAUGCCAAAAAGGAUCAUGUCUAACACAACUGUACAAUGUCGAAAGUUUGCAGUCUGUUCAAAGAUUAGACGCCAUAUUGCAAUGCAAAAAAAUAAAAAAUAAAAGGAUCAUGGGGAAUAUGAUUGAGACUUGUAAAGAUUGGCAUAAGAAGUCACCAUUUACCCUCUAUGAUUAUCGAACGUCGGCCAAGACCUUUGCCGAGACAACACAUUGCUCAUUGGUUUAUGGGAUAAAAACGAUUUUGAAGACGAGAUUUUUUUCUCUGAGUAUUGUUGGAGCUGAAGUUGGAUAGGGUAGAAUGGAUCCAAUCCCGAUAUGAUCAGUUGAAUUUGAAGAGAGGAGGUUGAAAAACCAUCUGUCGUGGUCCAAUGAAUGAUGUGAGCUUAUGAUAAAGAGGUUUAUCCUAGAGAAUUCCACGAGGGUAACUUCAUAUUGAAGAAGAUCCUUCAUAUACAAAAGGACUUCAGAGGAAAGUGGAUGUCAAACUAGGAAAGACCUUAUGUAGUAAAGAAGGCCUGUUCUGGAGGAGCAUUGAUUUUAGCCGAAAUAAAUAGCAAAGAUUUGCCCAAUCUGGUGAAUUCAAAUCCAGUCAAGGAGUAUUCUACCUAAAAAGAAAGAGGCCAAGGUGAAAACCCGCAAAGAGCGCCUUGAAAAAAAAAGGCCAAUGCGAAAACCUGUAAAUUGCGCCUUGAGACCAAAGGGGAUUUGAGUUGAAAACCCAAAAAGGGCCGCUCAAAUUUGGAUCAAAGUGGGGCAUACAGUAGUCUUGCUAUACCUGAAUUAACGAUGAAGAAGCAAGUUAUGUCUUGGGGUAUCGACAAAGAACCCCGAAUCCCCUAAACACAGAUUGAACUCAAAAUAGUGUCCAAGAAAUGGGUACAGAGAAGCUCAAGCUGCAAUAUCUGGGGCACCUAGCUUUCUAUUUUACCCAUUUUGAAUUUGAUAUCUUUGAUCACCUUAUUCUUUUCAAGAUACGUCCUAAUAAAUUUCCUUUUUAAUUGCAUUUGCGAUCUUUGAUUAAUUUAUUCAUUUCAAGCUAUGCUCCCAGUCAAUUUCCUUCUUGUCCAUUGUUUCGGUCCUUUUUAAGCAUUUUGCAUUGAAAUAGCAAUUAAUGGACCAAUAAACUUUCACAAAAGAAGUUCUGCAUAUUACUUUAAAGGCUUCUAAAUAGUACAGGAACCUGAAACAAGACCAUAUUUAGAACUCACCAAGCCUAAGGGUUGGAAAUAUUUGAGAGAUAGGGGUCUGAAUUGUGGCUAUCUCUCCAGAUUUUUUGUUAAAGAUAUCAUUGCAAAAAAAAAACAAGGUAUUGUAUCGGUGACACCACCUUGAAAAAUAAAGAGCAAUGUCAACCCAAGUGUAAAAGGGGAUCAUUUUCAGGAAAAGAAGAAUGGUAUUUUGUAUUCAUGCAGAUAUCCAGCAUACACAUCUGGUCAUAAUACCAAGGAAUGGUGUAACAGAUCAAAUUGAUUGAAGAUGACACAAAUCCUAUACCUCUGAGUUACAGCAGGAUGGAUAGAAGAAACUAAAUGUUACUCCCCUGAAGUUGCAAUGGGAGGUACAAACUCUAUGUCCCAGAAUAUACAGCGAAAAUGACUCUAAAAUUACAGUAGGGCAAGCUUGCUAAACAGAUUGUGUUUGUUUCUUUGAGUUUUCUAUCAAGAAUGCCAGUUGAACAAGAUGGCUGCGUAAUACGUCAAUGAUAAGGCCCUGAUGAACAACGAGCAAUAAUACCUUAAGCCUUUUAAAAAGGAUCAUUUUCAUUACUGCGUUAUAUAUCAUUCAUAACACAUCUAGUUAGGAGCAUUUGUUUCAUUUCGAUCAUAGCAUCCUAAUUAUUUGACAUAAGCAUCACAUCUAGUUAGGAGCAUUUGAUUCCUUUCGAUCAUAGCAUCCUAAUUAUUUGGCAUAAGCAUAGAUACAUGAAACCGAUUCUACAGAUCAUGUCUCUAGAGGACGGUGUAGCAACAUCGAUGAAUUCACAGUCUUAUCUCUCUGAGUAGCAAGAGAGCAGGUUGAAGAUUGAAGUCUUAUCUUCCUGAGGUAGCGAGGAAGCAGACUAAAGAUUGCAGAUCUUGUCUCCCUAAAGUUGCAGUAGAGCAGAUCAAAGAUAGCGAAUCUUGUUUUCCUGAAGUUACAGUGAAGCAGAUUUAAGCCAUCAUCCUAUCUCCCUAAGUUGUAGUGGAGUAGGCUAGAGAUUGCAAAUCUUGUCUCCCUGAAGUUGCAGUGGAGCAGAUCGAAGAUGGCGAAUCUUGUCUUCCUGAAAUUGCAGUGAAACAGAUUUAAGCUACCAUCCUAUCUCCCUAAGCAGUAGUGGAGUAGGCUGAAGAUUGUAGAUCUUGUCUCCCUGAAGUUGCAAUGGAGCAGAUUGAAGACAACAAAUCUUGUCUCCCUAAGCAGUAGUGGAGCAGAUUUAAGCCACCAUCCUAUCUCCCUAAGUAGUAGUGGAGUAGGCUGAAGAUUGUAGAUCUUGUCUCCCUGAAGUUGCAGUAGAGCAAAUCGAAGCCGCAAAUCUUGUCUCUCUGAAGUUACAGUGAAGCAGAUUGAAGUUGCAAAUCUUAUCUCCCUGAAGUUGCAGUGGAGCAGAUUAAAGCCACAAAUCCUAUACCUCUGAAGUUGUAGUAGGUCGAAUCAAACCUAUCAUGGUGAAUCUUAUCUCCCUGAAGUUAUGGUGGAGUAGAUUGAAGCCACAAACCUUACCCCCCUG
This 17796-nucleotide long non-coding RNA is filed under the name Gossypium barbadense (sea-island cotton). RNAcentral describes it as "long non-coding RNA (GBAR_LNC000123)". The record is from RNAcentral. Lineage: Eukaryota; Viridiplantae; Streptophyta; Magnoliopsida; Malvales; Malvaceae.